RNAcentral lists this long non-coding RNA (393 nucleotides) under Anas platyrhynchos platyrhynchos (common mallard). RNAcentral's name for it is "lncRNA (ENSAPLG00000018700.1)". The record is from RNAcentral. Lineage: Eukaryota; Metazoa; Chordata; Aves; Anseriformes; Anatidae.
AUGCUAAUCUCUUCAGAUCUGUCAAUUUAUGGCAAGAGGCAACACCUGGAAAGGAGAUUUAGAGAGAAAACUGCAGCAGAAAUAGCACUGGCAGUUCAAUAUACAUCAAUCACACUUCCAAGUAUAUGGACCUCAUGGCCUCCUCUCUUCACUGCUGUGCCCGUAGUCAUCACUCAGAAGGACCAGCAAAAUAGACUGUGUUUCCUGCUGCUUUUAUACAUGGACACAAGGCUUGAAGGUGCAGAAGACUGUAGGUCUGGAAGUGGUGUCAAAACUCCCAUUUUGCAAGAAGCGAGCACAGUCAACUAUAAAAGGCUAAAGAAUAUGCUUAUUCAUCUUAUUUUUAUGGAAAGUCUUGGUGACUCACUGCAUUGGCGAGAGAAGAGGAUUUAG